UACAGGGGGGGGCAAGCGUUGUUCGGAAUUACUGGGCGUAAAGGGCUCGUAGGUGGCCAACUAAGUCAGACGUGAAAUCCCUCAGCUUAACUGGGGAACUGCGUCUGAUACUGGAUGGCUUGAGUUUGGGAGAGGGAUGCGGAAUUCCAGGUGUAGCGGUGAAAUGCGUAGAUAUCUGGAGGAACACCGGUGGCGAAGGCGGCAUCCUGGACCAAUACUGACACUGAGGAGCGAAAGCCAGGGGAGCAAACGGG
RNAcentral lists this ribosomal RNA (254 nucleotides) under uncultured bacterium. Its description in RNAcentral is "partial 16S ribosomal RNA". It matches the Rfam family "Bacterial small subunit ribosomal RNA", at positions 524 to 776 of the family's 1533-position model. The record is from RNAcentral.